UUAGAGUUUGAUCCUGGCUCAGGACGAACGCUGGCGGCGUGCUUAACACAUGCAAGUCGAACGGGGAUAGAUCGGGAGUAAUCCUGGUUUAUUCUAGUGGCGGACGGGUGCGUAACGCGUGAGCAAUCUGUCCUCAAGAGGGGGAUAACAACUGGAAACAGUUGCUAAUACCACAUGAGACCACGGUUCCGCAUGGAACAGGGGUUAAAGGAGAAAUCCGCUUGAGGGUGAGCUCGCGUCCCAUUAGAUAGUUGGUGAGGUAACGGCCCACCAAGUCUGCGAUGGGUAGCCGAUCUGAGAGGAUGACCGGCCACAUUGGAACUGAGAAACGGUCCAGACUCCUACGGGAGGCAGCAGUGGGGAAUAUUGGGCAAUGGGCGCAAGCCUGACCCAGCAACGCCGCGUGAGGGAAGAAGGUUUUCGGAUCGUAAACCUCUGUUGUAGGGGACGAGGAAAAGACGGUACCCUACGAGGAAGCUCCGGCUAACUACGUGCCAGCAGCCGCGGUAAUACGUAGGGAGCGAGCGUUGUCCGGAAUGACUGGGCGUAAAGGGCGCGUAGGCGGUUUUGUAAGUCUGGAGUGAAACCCCCGUUUUCAAGGCGGGGCCUGCUUUGGAGACUGCAGGACUUGAGUGAUGGAGAGGAUAGCGGAAUUCCCGGUGUAGCGGUGAAAUGCGUAGAGAUCGGGAGGAACACCAGUGGCGAAGGCGGCUAUCUGGACAUAGACUGACGCUGAGGCGCGAAAGCGUGGGGAGCAGACAGGAUUAGAUACCCUGGUAGUCCACGCCGUAAACGAUGAGUGCUAAGUAUCGGGGGAUUUCGGUGCUUAAGCUAACGCAGUAAGCACUCCGCCUGGGGAGUACGGUCGCAAGACUGAAACUCAAAGGAAUUGACGGGGACUCGCACAAGCGGUGGAGCAUGCGGUUUAAUUCGAUGCAACGCGAAGAACCUUACCAGGUCUUGACAGUGUAAAGAAUACUUAAGAGAUUAAGGGCUACGAAUUAAGCUUGCUUGAUUUACUUUAUAAACAGGUAGUGCAUGGUUGUCGUCAGCUCGUGUCGUGAGAUGUUGGGUUAAGUCCCGCAACGAGCGCAACCCUUAUCACUAGUUGCCAUCAUUAAGUUGGGCACUCUAGUGAGACUGCCGGUGACAAAUCGGAUGAAGGUGGGGAUGACGUCAAAUCAUCAUGCCCCUUAUGACCUGGGCUACACGCGUGCUACAAUGGCUAAUACAAAGAGUCGCAAAACCGUGAGGUAGAGCUAAUCUCAUAAAGUUAGUCUCAGUUCGGAUUGUAGUCUGCAACUCGACUGCAUGAAGUUGGAAUCGCUAGUAAUCGUAAAUCAGAAUGUUACGGUGAAUACGUUCUCGAGUCUUGCACACACCGCCCGUCA
This 1391-nucleotide ribosomal RNA is filed under the name uncultured bacterium. RNAcentral's name for it is "bacterial SSU rRNA". It matches the Rfam family "Bacterial small subunit ribosomal RNA". The record is from RNAcentral.